UAGAGAAGAGAUGUCAAGGUCUACCACA
RNAcentral lists this non-coding RNA (28 nucleotides) under Homo sapiens (human). Lineage: Eukaryota; Metazoa; Chordata; Mammalia; Primates; Hominidae. The record is from RNAcentral.